UGGGGAAUAUUGGACAAUGGGCGCAAGCCUGAUCCAGCCAUGCCGCGUGUGUGAAGAAGGCCUUCGGGUUGUAAAGCACUUUUGUCCGGAAAGAAAGCGAAUCGGCAAAUACCCGGUUUGGAUGACGGUACCGGAAGAAUAAGCACCGGCUAACUUCGUGCCAGCAGCCGCGGUAAUACGAAGGGUGCAAGCGUUACUCGGAAUUACUGGGCGUAAAGCGUGCGUAGGCGGUCUGUUAAGUCUGCUGUGAAAUCCCCGGGCUCAACCUGGGAAUGUCAGUGGAAACUGGCGGGCUAGAGUACGGUAGAGNAUGGUGGAAUUCCCGGUGUAGCGGUGAAAUGCGUAGAGAUCGGGAGGAACACCAGUGGCGAAGGCGGCCAUCUGGACCAGUACUGACGCUGAGGCACGAAAGCGUGGGGAGCAAACA
Molecule: ribosomal RNA, 427 nt
Filed under: uncultured bacterium
Lineage: Bacteria
Description: bacterial SSU rRNA
Rfam family: Bacterial small subunit ribosomal RNA
Source: RNAcentral